GGAAUAUUGGACAAUGGGGGCAACCCUGAUCCAGCAAUGCCGCGUGUGUGAAGAAGGCCUGCGGGUUGUAAAGCACUUUCAGUGGGGAAGAAAGACGUUGGGUUAAUACCCUGGCGGGUUGACAUUGCCCACAGAAGAAGCACCGGCUAACUCCGUGCCAGCAGCCGCGGUAAUACGGAGGGUGCAAGCGUUAAUCGGAAUUACUGGGCGUAAUGCGCGCGUAGGCGGCGAGCUAAGUCCGAUGUGAAAGCCCUGGGCUUAACCUGGUAAUGGCAUUGGAUACUGGCUGGCUAGAGUGUGUUAGAGGGUGGCAGAAUUCCCGGUGUAGCGGUGAAAUGCGUAGAGAUCGGGAGGAACAUCGAUGGCGAAGGCAGCCACCUGGGACAACACUGACGCUGAGGUGCGAAAGCGUGGGGAGCAAAC
Molecule: ribosomal RNA, 423 nt
Filed under: uncultured bacterium
Lineage: Bacteria
Description: bacterial SSU rRNA
Rfam family: Bacterial small subunit ribosomal RNA
Source: RNAcentral